This 465-nucleotide ribosomal RNA is filed under the name uncultured bacterium. RNAcentral's name for it is "partial 16S ribosomal RNA". It matches the Rfam family "Bacterial small subunit ribosomal RNA", at positions 338 to 795 of the family's 1533-position model. The record is from RNAcentral.
CCUACGGGGGGCAGCAGUGGGGAAUAUUGCGCAAUGGGCGAAAGCCUGACGCAGCGACGCCGCGUGAGGGAUGAAGGUCCUCGGAUCGUAAACCUCUGUUAGCAGGGAAGAACGGUCACUGUGCUAAUCAGCAGUGAAUUGACGGUACCUGCAAAGGAAGCACCGGCUAACUCCGUGCCAGCAGCCGCGGUAAUACGGAGGGUGCGAGCGUUGAUCGGAAUUACUGGGCGUAAAGCGCUCGUAGGCGGUAUGUCAAGUCAAGGGUGAAAUCCCCGGGCUCAACGUGGGAACUGCCUUUGAAACUGGCAAACUGGAGUGUGUGAGAGGAUAGUGGAAUUCCAGGUGUAGGAGUGAAAUCCGUAGAUAUCUGGAAGAACAUCAGUGGCGAAGGCGACUAACUGGAACAUAACUGACGCUGAGGAGCGAAAGCGUGGGUAGCAAACAGGAUUAGAUACCCGGGUAGUC